UAUGCUUAUAGCUUAAUUGGAUAAAGCCUUAGAUUGCGGAUCUAUAAAAUGAAAGUUCGAGUCUUUCUAAGCAUAU
This 76-nucleotide transfer RNA is filed under the name Pseudoperonospora cubensis. Its description in RNAcentral is "tRNA-Arg". It matches the Rfam family "tRNA". Rfam says of the family: Transfer RNA (tRNA) molecules are approximately 80 nucleotides in length. Their secondary structure includes four short double-helical elements and three loops (D, anti-codon, and T loops). Lineage: Eukaryota; Oomycota; Peronosporomycetes; Peronosporales; Peronosporaceae. The record is from RNAcentral.